UACGGAGGGGGCUAGCGUUGUUCGGAAUUACUGGGCGUAAAGCGCACGUAGGCGGCUUUGUAAGUUAGAGGUGAAAGCCCGGAGCUCAACUCCGGAAUUGCCUUUAAGACUGCAUCGCUCGAAUCAUGGAGAGGUGAGUGGAAUUCCGAGUGUAGAGGUGAAAUUCGUAGAUAUUCGGAAGAACACCAGUGGCGAAGGCGACUCUCUGGGACGGUACUGACGCUGAGACGCGAAAGCGUGGGGAGCAAACAGG
RNAcentral lists this ribosomal RNA (253 nucleotides) under uncultured bacterium. RNAcentral's name for it is "partial 16S ribosomal RNA". It matches the Rfam family "Bacterial small subunit ribosomal RNA", at positions 524 to 776 of the family's 1533-position model. The record is from RNAcentral.